RNAcentral lists this ribosomal RNA (400 nucleotides) under uncultured bacterium. RNAcentral describes it as "bacterial SSU rRNA". It matches the Rfam family "Bacterial small subunit ribosomal RNA", at positions 370 to 772 of the family's 1533-position model. The record is from RNAcentral.
AAUGGACGAAAGUCUGACGCAGCGACGCCGCGUGGGGGAUGAAGGUCUUCGGAUUGUAAACCCCUUUCGGGAGGGAAGAUGGAGUGGGUAACCACUUGGACGGUACCUCCAGAAGCAGCCACGGCUAACUUCGUGCCAGCAGCCGCGGUAAUACGAAGGUGGCAAGCGUUGUUCGGAUUCACUGGGCGUACAGGGAGCGUAGGCGGUUAGGUAAGCCCUCCGUGAAAUCUCCGGGCCUAACCCGGAAAGUGCAGAGGGGACUGCUUGGCUAGAGGAUGGGAGAGGAGCGCGGAAUUCCCGGUGUAGCGGUGAAAUGCGUAGAUAUCUGGAGGAACACCGGUGGCGAAGGCGGCCCCCUGGAUCAUGACUGACGCUGAGGUGCGAAAGCGUGGGUAGCAAA